UGCUGGUCUGGGUUCAGGACUGACACAGCCUCGGUUAAUGACCGCUGCUCUGAAGGUUCGAGUCCCUGGUUCUGUCAGAAGAGCUGACUGGAGGAGGUGCAGUCAUGUGACAACAGCAGGAUUUCACUGAUGAGGAGUUUUUGGCUCUUCUGCUAUGUAAUUAGCUCCAACAGAAGUUCCAGCGCCGUGAGCCUCUGAGGAAGAAAUCUGAAAACUAACCAAAGCCCCUGAAGGUGUGACCGCCCCAGAAAUCCCUCCAUGCCAUUCAGGUGGGGGCAGAUGGAUCGCUAGGUGGGAUGACAGGAGCCCGUGGUCCAAUCAGGAGCUGCUCCAAGCGUCAGGCCUGUUCCAGAGAUCCACGAGGACGACAGGGACCCGACAGAACAAGUCAGGACAUUUUCCAGAUGAAAUUUGUGGUUCAGACACUCGUCAGUCAGCUUUCUAAGGUGAGUUAGUUGGUGUCUAGUUUGGAGGAUUUCUGUUGUUUUCUCCACCUCCUGCAAAAUUCAUGAGAAAAUAACAGCAGUUCUCUGUGUUCACAACCUCUGUGUCCAAGCAGUGAAUGCUGGGACAUGCGGUCAUGUGACCGCUUUUGAGUGAGCUGAUAGGCUGCAGCCAAUGUCCACAAACAUACAGGAGCAGAUGUAGCUUAAAGAAAUACGUUUAGAAUGGGGUAUUUUUAAUAAAAUAACUGUUCAUAAUCAUGAUUUUCAUAGUAUUUUCAUCCUUUCUAUUUUUUCUCACUUUCAUCAUGUGUUUUACCUUUUUAUGAACAUUUGAUCUGCCACCUGGAUAUUCAUAGUUUAUAUUUUCUCUGCUUUCAGUUUUGGACUGAAGAAGAAUGUUUAGGUCAGGGGGGGUGAACACGCGGCUCCUGGCCAAUGAGCAUGCGGGUCUUUGUGUCUCAUUAUAUUUUCUAUGUACUGAUCCUCGUUUCAUAGUUUUUCCCUCUUAAACUACAUUCAAAUCCGUUCAAUGCUACAUUCAAUGCCAGAAUAAAUAACUGAACAUUUAUGUUCGUGCAGAACGUUACCCUCAUGGUCAAAGUGGCUUCAUUCAGAGAAUAAAGACAAACACAGGAUGUUUCUGGGAGAAUAGGAAGAUUCUUACUUUUUCACUGAACGGAAUAGCAAUUCACUUCCUGAUCAACACAAAUCAUCUGCUUUAUGAACAAGUUGAAGCUCUUCAAACAUUCAAACGGCCAUCAUCCCACUUUCCUUCUUUGUGGAGCUCACAGCAGAAGCUGCAGUCCACAUGAAUAAAGCAGAACGUGACGCUGCUGCUGGACGGAAACUUGACUUUGUGGUUUGAGGACCUGCAGCAGAAACCACAGCAGAUCACUUUUCUCAUGGAUCC
RNAcentral lists this long non-coding RNA (1356 nucleotides) under Oryzias sinensis (Chinese medaka). Its description in RNAcentral is "lncRNA (ENSOSIG00000014596.1)". Lineage: Eukaryota; Metazoa; Chordata; Actinopteri; Beloniformes; Adrianichthyidae. The record is from RNAcentral.